UUUCACAAAACUUGUCGCUUGAGUUGUGGCAAAUGUGUUCCUUCUAUUGUGAUUGAGUUCUUGACCAUAGGAGUGCAACAAAUGCAGAAUUUGGAUCAUGGAAUUGCAAGUGGAUUCAACCACGAAAGUGUUGGGAAUUCUCUGUAAGUUCUUAUGAUCCGAAAUUAUUUUCAAGCAUACUGCGUCAUCUUACAUUUCUGAUGUACUAUACGUUUCCUUCUUUCCAUUCUUGUCCACUUCUAUGCAUGACAAAGACACGUGAAGUGGGAAGUUCCACGUCAGUUUUCUUCAUCGAUUUAUAUAUAUAUUUUUCUCGAAGUAGUGAAACUGAUCACAUAUUUCCUCGUGAUAACUAGGUGACAUAAUUGUAUUUUGGCGUUUUACACCGCCCCAGCGAGACAGAUAUAGACAUGAAGGGGCCAUUGCUAUUCAAUCAAUCAAAGGUGAGUGGUGGUGGGUGGUGGAUGUGUCUUUCACCUAGCACUAACUCCAAAUAUUAAGAGAUGAGGUUCAUAUGGAGAUAACGUUAGGCAACCCCCCACCUAUAUAUGUUUUGUCUUUAAUUCAAUUAACUGCUCAUCGAUACUAUAUAGGAAUGGCAACGGGACCAGAAUGGGGUGCAUUGAUCAUUCUCAUCCCUCUACUCGUUGGGUUUUUUCACCUUGUCUCUGUUAAGAUUUGGAGUUCCAUCUUAAAUCAUUAACCUUGUUAAGAGGAAUAAUCCAAGACCUUAUAAGUUGGUUUAUAUUUUCAUCUUUAUUUGAUGUGAGAUUUAUAUCUUUUAACAAGUUUUCACAAGAUAGUGGCUCGUUUGAGCAGAUCAAUUUGGAAAUCCGUAUGCUCAUUUAUACUUACUUAGAUCAAAUCGCUUGUUAGAACUUAACGGGCUCUGAUACCAUAUUAAGAUUUGGAGUUCUAUCUUAAAAGGUUAACCUUGUAAGAGGAGCAGCUCAAUACCUUAUAAGUUGGUCUAUAUUUUUAUCUUUAUUCUAUAUGAAAUUUAUAUCCCUUAACAUCCCAACCCUAUUCCUAGUUAAAGCGAGGCAAGACAAGUUCAUUUAUUUAUUUAUUUAUUUUUACAUUUUUUAUAUCUUUAAUUAGUGAAUAAUAUUCCAUUUUUUUCCUAAUUUAUUAAGAACAACACAUGUUUUCUUUAUAAAUGAUAAUAAAUCUUUUCUUUUUGUUUGAUGAAAAACUUGAAAUCAAUUUUGAAUAGGGUGGGUACCGCGGAGGCGAUCAUAUUUUCUUUCCCCGAUUUGGGGCAAUACCCAUCAUCGCCUCAUUCGGGAUAGGACCCACGAGUAUUGAGUUAAACAGAUUUUUUUAUCAUUCCUAUGUUGGUAUAUAUAUAUAUGUAGCAGUUGUGCGUGUAUAUAUUAUAAAUUAUUCAAUUCAACAGUCUCCUCCAUUGAUACGAGUGUUACUUUGUUGUAUCAACAUGAAGAAGAAGACGGCUCUUCUUUGGCUGUUCCUAUUCUUCUCAGCCUUCUUGUUUCCUCUCUCAGCAUCAUCAUCAAGUAAGCCCCAACAUUUCAUAAUCUUCAUAUGAUAUAUAUUCAUUCUUAUCUCUCUCUCUCUCUCUUAAAAUUAUUGCAGGAAGCCUCAGUUCAAUCACGGAUCAUUUUCAGGUUCUUCUUCCUUUCCAUUCAUAUUCUUUUCCCCUUUCUUAGUAAUAUCAUUAUUGGAUUUUCUGUUCAGUUUGGUAAUUUAAAUGUGGAGUAGAUUGCACUGGAGACAGGAGAGGAGAAAGAAUUAUACAGAGAAAGAAGAAUGGAUAUUGAAACCAGUGACUAUCCAGGGACUGGUGCCAAUAAUCACCAUGAUCCAAGACCCCCUGGAAGCUUUUGAAUCUAAGAAAAUGCUACUUAUUAUGUAUUUGUACAAAUUAAAAUGAGGAAAAUUAAAAGAAUAAUUCCUCUAAUUCUUGAGUUUCAUUAAUUAUUUUGCCCUCAAAUAUUGAUCUUUUGUACUGUAUCCAUACUUUUUUUUUUUUUUUUUUUUUUUUUUCGGAUCAUUUUCAGGUUCUUCUUCCUUUCCAUUCAUAUUCUUUUCCCCUUUCUUAGUAAUAUCAUUAUUGGAUUUUCUGUUCAGUUUGGUAAUUUAAAUGUGGAGUAGAUUGCACUGGAGACAGGAGAGGAGAAAGAAUUAUACAGAGAAAGAAGAAUGGAUAUUGAAACCAGUGACUAUCCAGGGACUGGUGCCAAUAAUCACCAUGAUCCAAGACCCCCUGGAAGCUUUUGAAUCUAAGAAAAUGCUACUUAUUAUGUAUUUGUACAAAUUAAAAUGAGGAAAAUUAAAAGAAUAAUUCCUCUAAUUCUUGAGUUUCAUUAAUUAUUUUGCCCUCAAAUAUUGAUCUUUUUUUUUUUUUUUUUCCUUUUUUUUUUUUUUUUUUUUUUUUUUUUUUGGAGAACUCGCAUUCACUAUCUCUCGAGUGCACACUGGGUAAACUCUCGAGCUGACGUAAUAGCCUGCAAACAACGCCAAUGAGGUAAAUCGCACUCGGCAAGUCCAAUCAUUUAUGUCGUCUCUUCAUUAUGGUCACACCCAGGGACGAAUCUUGGCUUCGAGUUCAGAUAGGGCGGACUGCAAACGUUGAACAUUUACUGUCAACGGUUAAUGCUCGUGAUAGCGAGAUGCGAUCGUUUAUUAAUAUUUAAUUGAAUAAUGUUCAAAAAAUUGUAUGGAUUAGAAUUAAAAGAAUUAGAUACACCACUAAAAUUUGAAUAAAUAGAUAUGGAUUUUCUUU
RNAcentral lists this long non-coding RNA (2746 nucleotides) under Olea europaea (common olive). Its description in RNAcentral is "long non-coding RNA (OEUR_LNC000646)". The record is from RNAcentral. Lineage: Eukaryota; Viridiplantae; Streptophyta; Magnoliopsida; Lamiales; Oleaceae.